UACGUAUGGUGCAAGCGUUAUCCGGAUUUACUGGGUGUAAAGGGAGCGUAGACGGCGAUGCAAGUCUGAAGUGAAAGGCGGGGGCCCAACCCCCGGACUGCUUUGGAAACUGUAUGGCUGGAGUGCAGGAGAGGUAAGUGGAAUUCCUAGUGUAGCGGUGAAAUGCGUAAAUAUUAGGAGGAACACCAGUGGCGAAGGCGGCUUACUGGACUGUAACUGACGUUGAGGCUCGAAAGCGUGGGGAGCAAACAGG
Molecule: ribosomal RNA, 253 nt
Filed under: uncultured bacterium
Lineage: Bacteria
Description: partial 16S ribosomal RNA
Rfam family: Bacterial small subunit ribosomal RNA
Source: RNAcentral